Silurus meridionalis is the source of this 1285-nucleotide long non-coding RNA. RefSeq lists it as uncharacterized. The record is from RefSeq and is a predicted model, not a curated record. NCBI's taxonomy places the organism in Eukaryota, Metazoa, Chordata, Actinopteri, Siluriformes, Siluridae. The transcript has 2 exons.
GUUGGGUACGCCGUUUUCUCUAUGCCUUGAUUGGGGCUUUUAUUCGGAAAUUAUUGUUGCGCAACACUGCUAUUGAGUCAUUCUGUUUAGCUAAACCGCAGGAAGCUGUUAGAGCACAUGGCUUGUUAGAUGGUGAUGAUAGAUCUUUUAACGCUUUUCCUGGGAAACCAUUUGUCUGCAAGUAAAUGUAACCCAUAGAGAAAUAAGGGCUACUAUGCUGUAGUUUUACUCCCAACCAUAGGGGGCGUUGGAGGCUGACUCGAUUAGAGCCUUGGUUAUCAGCUUUUCCCCCCUUUUUGUUUUUUCUUCUCCUCGUGAAUGCCAGCAGAAAUACCCCUUCUAGAAUGAUAAAACCAGCAGAAAUACCCCUUCUAGAAUGAUAAAACCAGCAGAAAUACCCCUUCUAGAAUGAUAAAACCAGCAGAAAUACCCCUUCUAGAUUAAUAAAACCAGCAGAAAUACCCCUUCUAGAUUAAUAAAACCAGCAGAAAUACCCCUUCUAGAAUUAUAAAACCAGCAGAAAUACCCCUUCUAGAAUUAUAAAACCGGCAGAAAUACCCCUUCUAGAAUGAUAAAACCAGCAGAAAUACCCCUUCUAGAAUUAUAAAACCAGCAGAAAUAACACUUCUAGAAUUAUAAAACCAGCAGAAAUACCCCUUCCAGAAUUAUAAAACCAGCAGAAAUAACACUUCCAGAAUUAUAAAACCAGCAGAAAUAACACUUCCAGAAUUAUAAAACCAGCAGAAAUAACACUUCUAGAAUUAUAAAACCAGCAGAAAUAACACUUCUAGAAUUAUAAAACCAGCAGAAAUAACACUUCUAGAAUUAUAAAACCAGCAGGAAGCAGAGGAAAUAAUUCCAAUUAAAAACAAUUAAAACUCCGAUUGUUGUUUUUUUGAGUACUAGAAAGUCUGGAUGAACCGAGAUGGCGAGCCUAGCCCAGCGAGACUGGUAGACGAUCUUAACGGAGUGGCCAGCCGUUGAUUUGUCACCAGAGGAAUCCUGAUUUACGUCGAGCGUGCCAGUUAAGGCAUUAUUCACACACAGUAGUGUUACACCAAGUGCACUUGAGGACAAGGACAUUUAUGCUUACUGAAAUACACAUUCACAGGUCUUUGGAUCCACAUUCCACAUUCACUUACAGAACCAAAUGAACAUUUAAGGGGAAUUUACUUUAUGAUUUUAUUAUUUUAAAGAGCUCUUCCUUUUUUUGUUUUAACAUUAUUGUGCCAUUUAUUUUGCACUGUUGUAAGAAAGCAAUAAAAUUGUCAGCUGUUCAACUCAA